CUCAAAUUGUUCUCUUUUUCCUCCCUCUCCUCCUGCUCCUGGUUCUGCUCUUCCCUUUCCACACACUCAUUUACUCUCUCACCCCUCCUACUCCCUCUGCGCUUGCUUUUCUUGUUCCACUUCCUCUCUUUCUCUACCACUCCUCAGCUCCUUUCCUUCCAUUUCUCCCCUUUUCUCCCUCCCCUGCCACUCAUUUCCCUAGCUUUCUCUUUUGUGGACUUUCCCCUUUCUUUGUUUUCACUUUCUCUUUCAAUCCUUUCCAAAACAGAGUGGUUGUCUAACUGUCAUAGAGCAGCUUGCCCACAAUUGGUCAAACAACUGUUCCUCUGAAAUGGGGGAAACUGUUGAAGAUUUCGUGACUAGGACUCGCAUUGCCCUGAAGAAUUAUUGUCCAGUCUUCCAGGGAAAUCAGGCAAACAACAUGCAAGCACCAAAAAAGAAUAUGGAAGAAAGAAUUAAAAAAAUGACAUGCUCUGAAAUAGCUAGAAAUUUAUUAGAAAUUUGGAGAGAAUACUGGAGAGAAACAGAAAAGUCAGCUAGAAGAGGGAGGAAAAGGAAGAGAAGACAAAGUCUGAAUAAGUGAUAUAAAACUACUGAAAAGAACUUGCAAGGAGAAAAAAUGUAGCCACAUUUUUUGCUCAGAUUUUUAAAAUUCUUGGAACAAUAAGAAUGAUGAGGUCAUAUAUGCAUAUCAAUCCUGAAAA
RNAcentral lists this long non-coding RNA (704 nucleotides) under Vombatus ursinus (common wombat). RNAcentral's name for it is "lncRNA (ENSVURG00010006491.1)". Lineage: Eukaryota; Metazoa; Chordata; Mammalia; Diprotodontia; Vombatidae. The record is from RNAcentral.